AACGAACGCUGGCGGCAGGCCUAACACAUGCAAGUCGAGCGAGGACUUCGGAUCUAGCGGCGGACGGGUGAGUAACGCGUGGGAAUGUGCCCUUCUCUACGGAAUAGCCCUGGGAAACUGGGAGUAAUACCGUAUACGCCCUAUUGGGGAAAGAUUUAUCGGAGAAGGAUCAGCCCGCGUUGGAUUAGGUAGUUGGUGGGGUAAUGGCCUACCAAGCCGACGAUCCAUAGCUGGUUUGAGAGGAUGAUCAGCCACACUGGGACUGAGACACGGCCCAGACUCCUACGGGAAGCAGCAGUGGGGAAUCUUAGACAAUGGGGGCAACCCUGAUCUAGCCAUGCCGCGUGAGUGAUGAAGGCCUUAGGGUUGUAAAGCUCUUUCAGCUGGGAAGAUAAUGACGGUACCAGCAGAAGAAGCCCCGGCUAACUCCGUG
RNAcentral lists this ribosomal RNA (433 nucleotides) under uncultured bacterium. RNAcentral's name for it is "partial 16S ribosomal RNA". It matches the Rfam family "Bacterial small subunit ribosomal RNA", at positions 29 to 507 of the family's 1533-position model. The record is from RNAcentral.